CCUACGGGUGGCUGCAGUGGGGAAUAUUGCACAAUGGGCGCAAGCCUGAUGCAGCCAUGCCGCGUGUGUGAAGAAGGCCUUCAGGUUGUAAAGCACUUUCAGCGGGGAGGAAGGCGUUAAGGUUAAUAACCUUGGCGAUUGACGUUACCCGCAGAAGAAGUACCGGCUAACUCCGUGCCAGCAGCCGCGGUAAUACGGAGGGUGCAAGCGUUAAUCGGAAUUACUGGGCGUAAAGCGCACGCAGGCGGUCUGUCAAGUCGGAUGUGAAAUCCCCGGGCUCAACCUGGGAACUGCAUUCGAAACUGGCAGGCUAGAGUCUUGUAGAGGGGGGUAGAAUUCCAGGUGUAGCGGUGAAAUGCGUAGAGAUCUGGAGGAAUACCGGUGGCGAAGGCGGCCCCCUGGACAAAGACUGACGCUCAGGUGCGAAAGCGUGGGGAGCAAACAGGAUUAGAUACCCCGGUAGUC
This 465-nucleotide ribosomal RNA is filed under the name uncultured Klebsiella sp. Its description in RNAcentral is "bacterial SSU rRNA". It matches the Rfam family "Bacterial small subunit ribosomal RNA", at positions 338 to 795 of the family's 1533-position model. The record is from RNAcentral. Lineage: Bacteria; Pseudomonadati; Pseudomonadota; Gammaproteobacteria; Enterobacterales; Enterobacteriaceae.